AGAGUUUGAUCCUGGCUCAGGAUGAACGCUAGCUACAGGCUUAACACAUGCAAGUCGAGGGGAAACGAUAUUGGAAGCUUGCUUCCGAUAGGCGUCGACCGGCGCACGGGUGAGUAACGCGUAUCCAACCUGCCCACCACUUGGGGAUAACCUUGCGAAAGUAAGACUAAUACCCAAUGAUAUCUCUAGAAGACAUCUGAAAGAGAUUAAAGAUUUAUCGGUGAUGGAUGGGGGAUGCGUCUGAUUAGCUUGUUGGCGGGGUAACGGGCCCACCCAAGGCAACGAUCAGUAGGGGUUCGUGAGAGGAAGGUCCCCCACCAUUGGAACUGAGACACGGUCCAAACUCCUACGGGAGGGCAGCA
Molecule: ribosomal RNA, 362 nt
Filed under: uncultured bacterium
Lineage: Bacteria
Description: bacterial SSU rRNA
Rfam family: Bacterial small subunit ribosomal RNA
Source: RNAcentral